This 254-nucleotide ribosomal RNA is filed under the name uncultured bacterium. Its description in RNAcentral is "partial 16S ribosomal RNA". It matches the Rfam family "Bacterial small subunit ribosomal RNA", at positions 524 to 776 of the family's 1533-position model. The record is from RNAcentral.
UACGUAGGGUCCAAGCGUUAUCCGGAAUUACUGGGCGUAAAGAGUUGCGUAGGUGGCAUAGUAAGCGAAUAGUGAAAUGACGAGGCUCAACCUCGUGUCCAUUAUUUGAACUACUAAGCUAGAGUAUGGGAGAGGUAGAUGGAAUUUCUAGUGUAGGAGUGAAAUCCGUAGAUAUUAGAAGGAACACCGAUGGCGUAGGCAGUCUACUGGCCCAUUACUGACACUAAGGCACGAAAGCGUGGGGAGCGAACGGG